CCGUUCUCACAGCUCUUCACCACUUCCGGUCCCAGCCCCGCCUCCUCAAGGCCUCUCCGUGCGUUUUGCGUUCAAGAAUUUUGUCCCCAGCGCCGAGCCGUCUCUCCGCCCCCGCCGCUGCCAUGGCGGCAGCUCCGCCGGUCUCCAAGGCCGAGUACCUGAAGCGUUAUUUGUCUGGGGCAGGUGCCGGCGUCGAUGGGGCCCCUGAGUCGGGUCGCAGGCGUCGCAGAAAGCGGCCGAAGCCUGGCGGGGCCGGCGGCAAGGGAAUGCGGAUCGUGGAUGAUGAUGUGAGCUGGACAUCUAUUUCCACCACUAAACCGGAAAAGGAGGAAGAGGAAGAUGAUGGAGAUUUGCCUGUGGUGGCUGAGUUUGUGGAUGAGCGGCCAGAAGAGGUAAAGCAGAUGGAAGCCUUUCGUUCCAGUGCCAAAUGGAAGCUUCUAGGAGGUCACAGUGAAGAUCUGCCCUCACACAGACACUUCCGUCGUGACUCCCUGGAUUCAUCUCCCCCAAGGAGGGUCCGUCAUGACACCCCGGACCCAUCUCCCCUGAGGAGGGUCCGUCACGACACCCCGGACCCAUCUCCCCCGAGGAGGGUCCGUCACGACACCCCGGACCCAUCUGCCCCGAGGAGGGUCCGUCACGACACCCCGGACCCAUCUCCCCCCAGGAGGGUCCGUCACGACACCCCGGACCCAUCUCCCCCAAGGAGGGUCCGUCACGACACCCCGGACCCAUCUCCCCCAAGGAGGGUCCGUCACGACACCCCGGACCCAUCUCCCCCCAGGAGGGUCCGUCAUGACACCCCGGACCCAUCUCCCCCCAGGAGGGUCCGUCGUACUUCUCUGGAUCCUUCUCCCCUCAGGAAGCCUCAUCGUCAUUCUUCAGGCAUGUCUCCUAGGAGAACCCAUCAUGACACACCACAUUCGUCUCUUCCUAGGAGGGCCUGUCACAAUUCCUCAGAUAGCUCUGUUCCCAGAAGGGCUCAAAAUAGCUCACCUGACACAUCUCAACCUAGAAGGACUCAUGACUCCUUGGACACAUCGCAGCUCAGGAGGGCCCAUCAUAACUCCCCUGAUUUGGCUGCUAGUGUCCCUCAUUCACUGCCCAGACCCAAAAGCAGUAAAGGCCCAGAGAGAGCUUCUAGGAAAACUUCUCCACAUUCGAAGGGGCCGGGACCAUCUCACACAUCAAUCCCAAAGAACAGCAAAUAUGAGUAUGACUCGGACCGCUCUCCUCCACGAAAAAAGCGAGCAAAAUCCCAUAAGCAUGAUUCUAAAGACUCUUCCCCCAGCCAUAGGAAAUUUCAUACAAACUCUUCGCCUAGGAGAUAUCAGAGUCACAUGUUGGACUCUUCCUCCUACCCAGAUGAUAGUCGGAAAGCCUCUGAUUCAGAUCUUUCUCCUCCACGGCAAAAGCAGAGUUCAGGGCACAAAGAUUCUGAUUCAGAUCUGUCACCUCCACGGAAUAGACCUACAUACCGGAGCUCUGAUUCUGACCUGUCUCCACCAAGGAGGAAACAGAGGGCCAAAUCUUCUGAUUCCGAUCUGUCUCCACCUCGAAGGAGUCAGCCUCUAGGAAAGAAGGCUACACACAUGUAUUCUGGGGCAAGAACUGGGUUGGUGUUAACUGACAUACAGCGAGAGCAGCAAGAGCUCAAGAAACGGGACCAAGAAACUACGGCGUUUGAAGCUGAAUUCCAGUAUGCUGAAACUGUAUUUCGAGAUAAGUAUGGUCGUAAGAGGAAUUUGAAACUGGAACGUUUAGAGCAAAGGAGAAAAGCAGAGAAGGACUCGGAGAGAGAGGAGCUGUACGCUCAGUGGGGAAAAGGGCUUGCCCAGAGCCGGCAGCAGCAACAAAAUGUGGAGGAUGCAGUGAAGGAAAUGCAAAAGCCUCUGGCGCGCUACAUUGAUGAUGAAGAUCUGGAUCGGAUGCUGCGAGAACAGGAAAGAGAGGGGGACCCCAUGGCCAACUUUAUCAAGAAGAAUAAGGCUAAGGAGAACAAGAAUAAGAAAGUGAGACCUCGCUACAGUGGUCCUGCCCCUCCUCCCAACAGAUUCAAUAUUUGGCCUGGAUAUCGCUGGGAUGGAGUUGACAGCCUCUCCGGAGCCUUCUUGGAUGUCUGAUUGGCACUUGGUGACAGCCCAUGCAGUCCCAUCACACUGCCAGUGGAGUUUCCAUUGCGCUAAUCCAUCACUGUGGAGCAGGCAAGAUUAUGCUUCCCCAAAAAAACUCUGGGAGAUAAAUAUGAGAGGAUCAGUACUGCUGUGGGCUCUGUGAGUGUGGAUUUGGAGAGGGACCCAAGAUGCCUGGGGAGAGGCAACGAUGGCAGAGCUGAUGAAGCUCCUGCAGUCAGGAGAGAGACACACGACAUACCUCGGGCACUUAGUGUGGCUCACCCUCCAGAGCACUCAACUGAUGUCCCACCUGUUCUGGGAAGACCCUACUCGGGCCCAGCCUCUAGCAGGUCCUGCCCACAGCUGGUCUGCUGGUCCUUCAUAUAAAGGGAGCCAUGUUCUGCACCUGGAGCCAGAGUGAAUCAGUGAGCGAGGAGGAUUGUUCCAGAAGGAUCCGGAUGAGGACCCCUGCCUCCUCUUUGUUGUCCCCACCUCGAUGCCAUGUGCUGGUUCUGAUGACUUUGGCUGUGCACCUGAAUUCUUGUUCUGGCACGGGCUCACAGCCCUGUCCUGUGUGCCCACCAAUCUCCAUUCUGGGAUUCAGUCAAAUUCCAGUCCUUAAACAUGAGCCUUCCAAGGAUUACUCUAAGUCUUCUUGGAACUCACCCCAGACUGAGACUGGAGAGAGUGGUGUCCUCUGGUACCUGCUUGUUCAUCAGACUGAGCCUCAAGUCAUUGCCCUCAGCCGGGUCAGUUUCUGCAGCACCUAGGCCACCCCAGAGGCAG
Leopardus geoffroyi (Geoffroy's cat) is the source of this 2900-nucleotide RNA transcript. It is a transcript of the gene named BUD13 homolog, with no coding region annotated. NCBI's taxonomy places the organism in Eukaryota, Metazoa, Chordata, Mammalia, Carnivora, Felidae. The transcript is spliced from 13 exons. The record is from RefSeq and is a predicted model, not a curated record.